ACUCCUACGGGAGGCAGCAGUGGGGAAUUUUGGACAAUGGGGGCAACCCUGAUCCAGCAAUGCCGCGUGUGUGAAGAAGGCCUUCGGGUUGUAAAGCACUUUUGUCCGGAAAGAAAACCUCCGUCCUAAUACGGUGGGGGGAUGACGGUACCGGAAGAAUAAGCACCGGCUAACUACGUGCCAGCAGCCGCGGUAAUACGUAGGGUGCAAGCGUUAAUCGGAAUUACUGGGCGUAAAGCGUGCGCAGGCGGUUCGCUAAGACCGAUGUGAAAUCCCCGGGCUUAACCUGGGAACUGCAUUGGUGACUGGCGGGCUAGAGUAUGGCAGAGGGGGGUAGAAUUCCACGUGUAGCAGUGAAAUGCGUAGAGAUGUGGAGGAAUACCGAUGGCGAAGGCAGCCCCCUGGGCCAAUACUGACGCUCAUGCACGAAAGCGUGGGGAGCAAACAGGAUUAGAUACCCUGGUAGUCCACGCCCUAAACGAUGUCAACUAGUUGUCGGGUCUUCAUUGACUUGGUAACGAAGCUAACGCGUGAAGUUGACCGCCUGGGGAGUACGGUCGCAAGAUUAAAACUCAAAGGAAUUGACG
This 587-nucleotide ribosomal RNA is filed under the name uncultured Burkholderia sp. RNAcentral's name for it is "bacterial SSU rRNA". It matches the Rfam family "Bacterial small subunit ribosomal RNA", at positions 335 to 915 of the family's 1533-position model. The record is from RNAcentral. Lineage: Bacteria; Pseudomonadati; Pseudomonadota; Betaproteobacteria; Burkholderiales; Burkholderiaceae.